UGCAAGUCGAGCGGUAACAGGAAUUAGCUUGCUAAUUUGCUGACGAGCGGCGGACGGGUGAGUAACGCGUAGGAAUCUACCUGGUUGUGGGGGACAACAGUUGGAAACGACUGCCAAUACCGCAUACGUCCUAUGGGGGAAAGGCUUCGGCCGCUAUUGGAUGAGCCCGCGUCAGAUUAGCUAGUUGGUAGGGUAAAGGCCUACCAAGGCAACGAUCUGUAGCUGGUCUGAGAGGACGAACAGCCACACUGGGACUGAGACACGGCCCAGACUCCUACGGGAGGCAGCAGUGGGGAAUAUUGGACAAUGGGCGAAAGCCUGAUCCAGCAAUGCCGCGUGUGUGAAGAAGGCCUGCGGGUUGUAAAGCACUUUCAGUUGGGAAGAUGAUGACGUUACCAACAGAAGAAGCACCGGCUAAAUCCGUGCCAGCAGCCGCGGUAAUACGGAUGGUGCGAGCGUUAAUCGGAAUUACUGGGCGUAAAGCGCGCGUAGGCGGCUAAGUCAGUCAGAAGUGAAAGCCCCGGGCUCAACCUGGGAAUUGCUUUUGAUACUGCUUGGCUAGAGUUUGGUAGAGGAUAGUGGAAUUCCAGGUGUAGCGGUGAAAUGCGUAGAUAUCUGGAGGAACAUCAGUGGCGAAGGCGACUGUCUGGACCAAAACUGACGCUGAGGUGCGAAAGCGUGGGUAGCAAACAGGAUUAGAUACCCUGGUAGAAGGGC
Molecule: ribosomal RNA, 717 nt
Filed under: uncultured Gammaproteobacteria bacterium
Lineage: Bacteria; Pseudomonadati; Pseudomonadota; Gammaproteobacteria
Description: bacterial SSU rRNA
Rfam family: Bacterial small subunit ribosomal RNA
Source: RNAcentral